RNAcentral lists this long non-coding RNA (308 nucleotides) under Brassica rapa (field mustard). RNAcentral's name for it is "long non-coding RNA (BRAP_LNC000638)". Lineage: Eukaryota; Viridiplantae; Streptophyta; Magnoliopsida; Brassicales; Brassicaceae. The record is from RNAcentral.
UUUGUUCUCCUUGUUUUUCUCUUUUUUGCCAAACAUUUCAUAUUUAUGAUUAACAAAAAAAAAAACAUUUCAUAUUUAUGAUAUAUAUUCACAUUUUAGCAACAAUUUUUUUUUCUGUAAAUUCACGGAAAACAUAUGUACUUAUCGUAGCGGCAAUCUAUGUUUGAUUGUUCGUAGUAGAUGAGUUAGGAGGAGCUGAGAUAUUGUGGGUUACUUCUGCACCAUGCAUUAAGUUUGAGAAUGAAAUAUCAUACUCAUAACAUGCAAACAAAAUAGGGUAGGUUGUGAAUACAAGUUUUUGAAGAUUU